ACAUAUAACAUAUAACAUACCACAUAUAGCAUACAUAUCACAUAUCAUAUCCGACCUUCCGGUCACACAGUCAAACCCUUCCGGGUACAGUAUAGUGAGAAGACUCACCUCGCGGUCACUAGAAGAUAGCAACUCCUAAAAUCCCUUGCACUUGAUCCUCCGAGCUGCAAGCUCCCUGUAACAUCAUACAUCCCUUAUUUAAUACUUCUAUCUUCCACGUUAACUGACCCUAAGAAAUCACACCAGUCAACUCUGGUCAACAGUCCAUUGUCAGCUCGACUGGACUCGGCGAGUUCCCUGGCGACUCGGCGAGUCUGGUCGUCCUUCAAUCCUCUAAGAUUCCCCUUCUACUCGUCGAGUAUCCUCUUUGACUCGACGAGUCACUCCUGGAAGAAUCGCGGGGCCACCCCGACUCCACUCGCCGAGUCUGAAGAACAACUCGGCGAGUCCCAGUGAAUCUUCAAGCUACUCGCCGAGUCUGAUCAUCCGACUCGGCGAGUCUACGCCAUGCAGUCGAUCGAACUGCUUCCUGAGAUACAUAUAUUCUCGAAUAUACAAACAUGGGACCUUCUGGACCUCUAAGGGUCCUAAUACAAGGUUAUAAACGUUGAAUAACAACACAACAAUCCAUCUAGACUCCAAAUGGGUUCCAUAAACCCUAAAUCUAUAUACACAUCAAUCACAGGAGAAUGUAAUCCGAAUUAUUACCUGAAUGAUGUACCUUCCAUGUCCCCAAACUUCAGAACUCGAACUCCCUGCAGUUCCUUUAGCUAAAACCCUUCUCCUCCUUGCACAACAAUUCCUUCAAGGUCACCAAUGGCCUUCAAGCUUGCUCUAGCCGCUCCAGUCGCCUAGGGUUCUUCCCAAUCGAUCCAAAGUCGUGAAAUGACGGCAUAAUAACCCUUAUAUACGACCCAAUACUGAACGGCUAGGGUUUCCGCUGAACAGCGUCGACUCGCCGAGUCCAUAUCUGGACUCGUCGAGUCCAGUCGUGAACCCGCGACCAAACCUGCGACCCUACUCGGCGAGUCUGGCUCCAACUCGUCGAGUCUCCCCUUUAAAACACCCCCAAAAUGCAACUUAACAAUACUUGAGAUUUUGGGCUGUUACAAUUCUCCCCCACUAGAAUUAGACUUCGCCCUCGAAGUCUCACUCUGAAAAUAGCUCUGGCUGCUGCUCCCGCAUCUCACGUUUCGGCUUCCCUAGACACUACCGAUCUCUUCCGAGGCCGCUACUGAACCAAUACCAGAGGUACCUCCUUGUUCCUCAGAACCUUGAUCUUCCGAUCUCCGACGGCCACUGGCCUCUCGACGUAACACAGGCUCGCAUCCACCUAAUCGUUCUCUAGUAGAACCACUGCUGACUCAUCCGCUAUACACCUCUUCAACUGCGACACAUACCAGUGUCAUGGAUCCGUCCCAAUUCCGUUGACAGCUCCAAACGAUAGGCCACCCUUCCUACCUUCGCACCUUCACGAAAAGACCCAACAUACCGGGGCCCCCCAUUUACCCCUCUUCCUAAAUCGAAGCACCCCGUCAGAAAUACGAAGUCGCUGACCUGAAUCACAUGCUCGUAACGGCGUCUGCCUGCAUAACUUUCCUGUUAACUCUAGACGAUCACUAACUCUCUUUAACCUGCUGAGUCUGCUUUGUCAACUAAAGUACGAACUCUGAACUGCUCAUCACUCUCUGUAAUCGGAAAUUACCCAAGAUGCACUCUGCUCCAAAUCUCAACGAUCACUCAACCCAUAAGGGUUAGGAAACCCUGAACCACCGGAUCCCCGAUCCAAAGCCCACUUUGCCCAUUCCGGACCGACUGAGAGAUCCGUUCUCCCUCUCAGAUCAACUCUCACAAGUUCCCUCUUGCCAUCACAUACACAUACUGAACUAGUCCCAACACCCGCAGGUUGAAAGACCCGAUACACUGAUGAUAUCCUCGAACAUCUCCCAAGAUGAACCACUACAUCCACCCUACACUCUGAUCAGAUUCACACUGAGAAUUUAAAAUUUUCUCUCUCCAUGCAUCCCUUCUGAGCCUCAACAGACAUCCCAACCGGAUGGGUUCCUACUCCACUGCCGCGAACACGAUGCUCAAAACCAUACUCGAAAUACUCUAACCAUAACUCUGCUCUGCAGCUUUCACUUUCGUGAACUUGCACCCCCUUCGGAGUUACAUACCCUCCUCUUUUCCUUUUCCACGGAACUCUCUUGAACAUAAUGCCACUCCAACCGGUGCCACGGUGCUCGCCCCAAGCGACACCACCCUUUUUGCGUAACUGCUAUUCACAUACUCUGGUUCUCAUUGCAGGGGCUCUCAAUCCCAUGCACUCUCUCCACUCAUCAAAAUCACUGCCUCCGCUAAACAAGAUCAAUAACCCGGGGCCAGACCUUCCAAUGCAAUCACACUGCAACAUACGCGAUCCGCAAAUCUCAAACUAAUCCAGCAAUACCAACAGAGUCUCCAGUAUGACUGGACCGACUCUCAUAACACAUACUAGCCACUCGAGGCUAUAUCUCUGUGGGUCCGUACACCCAAACUCUGCGAACCCUCAGGUUCUAACUCUGGGAACCUUCCGGUUCCAGCUCUAGAAACAUGCACAACAUAAUCCCGUGGGAUUAAUGCAGUACAACCCAUCACGUACCUCAAACGUACCAAUACUCUGAUCGCAAAAUUCCGAUUACUUACUCAAGCUUGAUCCCGACCUCCUCUCAGGCCUCCACAAUCAAAUGCCCUAGGUCUGUAUCUCGCCCCGCAUACUCAACACUCGCUCUCGUCGGCCUAUACUUUGCGCUGACAAACACUGCUGAAUCCCAACAGCUAAGCACCCUUACAUACUCAUCGAUCUCCCGGAGAAUUUUACAAUUCUCCCCCACUAAAGCACUGACUAACUGCCACCGAUCGUCAUUAACGACCUUUCAGAACCAUCCUGCACAAAGAGAACAUUUACCCACUGACUGCUUCCCACAAGCGUAAGCAACCCUCAGCAAAACACAUCUCCUCCCUGAUCAAUCCGCUCAAAAGAAUCCGAUCUUUCAAUUAUCCACUCCACAACUGCAGAUGCUACCCGUCAUUCAACCCAGUGCCGCAUCUCCACUAUCAACCCUCACGAACGAUGACCAACGGAAUUCCCAAGCAAUAACCCAUAACCAAACCCACAACCUGCCAAAGGUUGAAUAUCGCAUCGAAAACCGCACAAGGCUACCGGUACCAAAACACCAAACUAUAAUCAUACUAAACCAUCAGGGAACAACGAAUGCCAAGCGAAAACCUGAAGCACCAAUCCAUAACCAUGCCAAACCCGCGAAACAACGAAUACCGCAUCGAAAUCCACACCAGACACCAGCACAAACAAUACGCCACAAUCAACGCAAGCUACUCAAGACAUCAAGAGAGCAUCAUACCCGCAGCUGCCUCCGGCACUGCUCCGUCUCCCUCUGCCGCAAGCCGAUAAGCACGACCCUGAGCCCUUGGGCUCUGCUCCAUCCUGUCCUCCUCCUGAACUCCUCAAGGUGGCCGAUGCUAGAGCCUGCACCGGUCCUGCAGGAAACUGUGGACGGUUGACCCUCAAAUGUCCAACCUGCCGACACUGAUAACAAAUCCUGAAAUCCCGAAUUGGCACUGACUGCCGACAAUCCCGUGCACCAUGCCCCUCCUUUCCGCACUUGCGGCAUGCACCACUGGGCCAACAAGCUCCGGUGCCAUCUCUCUCACACUUCCCACAAGUGUGACCGCUCCGAUCCCCCAUUCUAACGUCUACGGUCAUGGACCGUUUCGGCGCCGACUGCGACUGCAUCGGGGCCUGCCUCAUCUCACGCAACUGCAACUCAACCUCUAACUCACGCCACAUGGCGGCCUCCUGCGAUACCAACACGGUCUCGCGCCUCUGCGCAGACACGAACUGUCUGACCCCCCCCCUUGAGCAUACUCGGAUAUCGGGACAUCUGAGCCUGCUCCGAAGCGAACUCAGGGCAAAACAUCGCCCUCUCAAUAAACAUCCCGGUGCUCUCAGUCACCGACUCCAAAUCCUGCCUCAGCUUAAAGAACUUCCGAGCCAAUUUCUCCUUUUCAUCCCGCGGAACAUAGCGAGUACUGAACAUCCCUCUGAAUUGAUCCCAUGAAACCGCAGCCCUCUGCGCAUCGGAAAAUGACCUCGUGGUCAAUCUCCACCAAUCCUUCGCCCCGAGCCUCAAUAGGUUCAGAGCACACCCCACCCUCUGAUCAGCAGGGCAUAAACUCGUGGAGAAACACCCCUCCAUGUCUGAUAACCAUCUCAUAGCAACAAUCGAGUCCUGAACUCCAUCGAAUGUGGGAGGCUUCGCAUAAUAGAAGUCCCGAUACUGAAAACCCCGACUAGCCCCUUUCUUUGCCGUUGCUACAGCCGCUGUAACCGCCGCGGCAGCCGUCUCUGCGAAAGCCGCAUAUCGCUCAUCAAACUACUUCAAUCAUAGUGGUCCUGAUCGACCCAAACAAUUCUGGCGACUCAGCCCGCAACAAUGCAGCAACCUCAUCACGCCGGAUCUCGCGAAUCCUCGCAUCCCGCUCGCUCGUGCUCGUCCGAUCGAUAACCGGAUAACAAGAUAGCCACAAGCAUCAUCCACUACGAACCAUGGUACUCAUCCCAUGACAUCCUUCCUCAACAUGCUUCGGUGUAUGGUACCUGAACCAUAGCACCAUUCCUCAACCUGCUCCAAUGUAUAGCACUCGAACCACAACAUCUAUCUCAAUCUGUUCCGAUGUAUGGUGCCCUGACCAUAACAUCACUCUGUAUCCGCUCCGAUGUAUGGUAUCCGAACCAUAACAUCACCCCUCAAUCUGUUCCUUAGGACCUUCAGAAUGCCCCCUGUAUCAAGUAUGGGUCCUCUGCUUUCAGUAGUACGGGCCCAUACUACCUGCCACAUCUACCCAUACUUUCCACACGGACCAUCCCAGAGUUCCUAAGUAGCUGAUAAACCUGCUCUUUCACCCAUCUCAUCGCGCGUGCUCGCUUUCCAGCGAAAUCCUCUACUCUACCAGCGCACUCAUCUGGCUAGGUUUACUCCCUAGUCCCUUCCGCUGUCCUCCCACUUCUUUGCUAUCAGCUGCUGAAGAGUUCCUAAUGAUGCCAGCCCUCUACCUCCUGAGUAUCGUCAUACUCACUUGGUAGCUGACUCCCAUCAUCGAUAACUCCACAAAGCACAAAGCAAGCAGCAUUCGAGCAUUGAAGCAUACAUAGGACUCCCCAUCUGUGGUAGCUCCACCUUCUCGGCUCAUCCUCGGAAGUACCUCUGUACCCCGUAGCUUUACCCCUUGUGCGUUCUAACUAGAUACUCUCACUCAUCACAUACACACAAAAGCAUAACGCACAUAUAACAGCAAACCCUAGACUAAGGCAUCACAAAUCAGGCCACUCUAGUCCUAAGAUGUGAAAUACCUAGCCUGUCUCUAGCAUGCAAUAAUGUCUCAUAAAGUGCAUAAUAGAUAUUUCAUAAUACAAAAGUAAGGGUAUUUUGGGAAAUCACCGUUUGGCUCUGGCUGAUUGUACACACUGCUCUUUCUUGCUUUCUCUUUGAACUCUUAUUCACUUUUAGAAAACCAUUUAUUUGGAAAACUUUUUCUUACUUCCUCAGUUUGAGUCCAGAUUUACCCGUAGGCGCGUCCGAAUCCCUCAAACCAAGGCUCUGAUACCAAUUUGUAACACCGUGAUUUCCAAAAACAAAAUUUUCAUUUAAAUAAUCAAUUUAAUAUUAAAAACACUUGUUUAAAAUCUUAUUCACAUUCGAAUUACAAAACAUAGUUUCAUUUUCAUUAUAAUAGAAGACCAGGAUCCUCCAAAACACAACUCUUUCUUCGGUGUGUACAAUCGAACCGUUGCCAUCCCGCGUUACUGUAAGAACCUGAAACAACAUAACAUAAACAACGUAAGCACGAAGCUUAGUGAGUUCCCCAAUAUACCUUACGCACAUACGCCUUCCGGCCCGGAUCUUUCGAUCCACAUAAUAUCGCCUUCCGGCCCGGAUCUUUCGAUCCACAUAACAUCGCCUUCCGGCCCGGAUCUUUCGAUCCACAUAACAUUGCCUUCCGGCCCGGAUCUUUCGAUCCACAUAACAUUGCCUUCCGGCCCGGACCUUUCGGUCCACAAGAUAAUUGCCUUCCGGCCCAUACACAUAUAUAACACAUAAUACAAAUACUCUAACACAUAAAGCACAUAUAUCAUAUAUCAUACCUGACCUUUCUGUCACAUAAUACCUUGCCUUCCGGCCCAUAUAUAAGCAUGUAUAUCACGCGUAGCAACUAACUUUCCAUUCAUAGCAUAUAAACAUAACACACAACAUACUUGACCUUCCGGUCACACAAUCAAACCCUUCCGGGUAAAGUAUAGUGAGAAGACUCACCUCGCGGUCACUAGAAGAUAGCAACUCCUAAAAUCCCUUGCACUUGAUCCUCCGAGCUGCAAGCUCCCUGUAACAUCAUAUAUCCCUUAUUUAAUACUUCUAUCUUCCACGUUAACUGACCCUAAGAAAUCACACCAGUCAACUCUGGUCAACAGUCCAUUGUCAGCUCGACUGGACUCGGCGAGUUCCCUGGCGACUCGGCGAGUCUGGUCGUCCUUCAAUCCUCUAAGAUUCCCCUUCUACUCGUCGAGUAUCCUCUUUGACUCGACGAGUCACUCCUGGAAGAAUCGCGGGGCCACCCCGACUCCACUCGCCGAGUCUGAAGAACAACUCGGCGAGUCCCAGUGAAUCUUCAAGCUACUCGCCGAGUCUGAUCAUCCGACUCGGCGAGUCCACGCCAUGCAGUCGAUCGAACUGCUUCCUGAGAUACAUAUAUUCCCGAAAAACACACUCAUGGGACUUCUGGACCUCUAAUCAUCCUAUUACCAGGGUAUAAACUUUUGUAUAACAACAUAACAAUCCAUCUAGACUCCAAAUGGGUUUCACAAACCCUAAAUCCAUGCACACAUUCACAUAACAGGAAAUAAUCCGAAAGAUUACCUGAAUC
This 6978-nucleotide long non-coding RNA is filed under the name Lactuca sativa (garden lettuce). RNAcentral describes it as "long non-coding RNA (LSAT_LNC001090)". The record is from RNAcentral. Lineage: Eukaryota; Viridiplantae; Streptophyta; Magnoliopsida; Asterales; Asteraceae.